AUGGAGGAGAGCGGCGCGAGCGCGGCGGCCGUAGUCCCUCGGCUGUUGGCGGCGAAGGAGGAGUCCGGGAAAAGCUUCUCGGACAUCGCGGCCGAGACGGGGCUCACCAACGUUUACGUCGCGCAGCUGCUGCGCCGCCAGGCGCAGCUGAAGCCCGACAUGGCGCCCGCGUUCCGGGCGGCCGUCCCGGCGCUCACCGACGAGCUCGUGGAGCUCAUGAUGCGGCCGCCUUUCCGGUCCUACCACCCGGACAUCGUCCACGAGCCAACCAUAUACAGAUUGAAUGAAGCUGUUAUGCAUUUUGGAGAGAGCAUCAAGGAGAUCAUCAAUGAGGAUUUUGGUGAUGGAAUCAUGUCGGCUAUAGACUUCUACUGUUCAGUUGACAAGAUUCAAGGGGCUGAUGGAAAAGAUCGUGUGGUGGUCACAUUUGAUGGGAAGUAUCUGCCUUACACCGAGCAGAGAUCUGAACAUAUGAUGUCAAGAUUGAACCGGAAUGCAUCUUGA
This 504-nucleotide ribosomal RNA is filed under the name Triticum aestivum (bread wheat). RNAcentral's name for it is "partial small subunit ribosomal RNA". Lineage: Eukaryota; Viridiplantae; Streptophyta; Magnoliopsida; Poales; Poaceae. The record is from RNAcentral.